UGGCUCAGGACGAACGCUGGCGGCGUGCUUAACACAUGCAAGUCGAGCGAGGAACUUCGGUUCCUAGCGGCGGACGGGUGAGUAACACGUGGGCAACCUGCCUCACAAUGGGGGAUAGCCUUCCGAAAGGAAGAUUAAUACCCCAUAACACAAAGGAAACGCAUGUUUCUUUUGCCAAAGAAUUUCGUUGUGAGAUGGGCCCGCGGCGCAUUAGCUUGUUGGUGAGGUAACGGCUCACCAAGGCCACGAUGCGUAGCCGACCUGAGAGGGUGAUCGGCCACAUUGGAACUGAGACACGGUCCAGACUCCUACGGGAGGCAGCAGUGGGGAAUAUUGCACAAUGGAGGAAACUCUGAUGCAGCAACGCCGCGUGAGUGAUGAAGGUCUUCGGAUUGUAAAGCUCUGUCUUCUGGGACGAUAAUGACGGUACCAGAGGAGGAAGCCACGGCUAACUACGUGCCAGCAGCCGCGGUAAUACGUAGGUGGCAAGCGUUGCCCGGAUUUACUGGGCGUAAAGGAUGUGUAGGCGGAUAUUUAAGUGAGAUGUGAAAUCCCCGGGCUCAACUUGGGGGCUGCAUUUCAAACUGGAUAUCUAGAGUGCAGGAGAGGAAAGCGGAAUUCCUAGUGUAGCGGUGAAAUGCGUAG
Molecule: ribosomal RNA, 645 nt
Filed under: uncultured bacterium
Lineage: Bacteria
Description: bacterial SSU rRNA
Rfam family: Bacterial small subunit ribosomal RNA
Source: RNAcentral